Molecule: long non-coding RNA, 465 nt
Organism: Rhinichthys klamathensis goyatoka
Lineage: Eukaryota; Metazoa; Chordata; Actinopteri; Cypriniformes; Leuciscidae
Exons: 3
Source: RefSeq, a predicted model, not a curated record
GGACGGAUGAGCACACGCGGCUGCUUAUCCGGUGGAGAGUGGCUCAUGAAGCGCUCUUCACCGGAAAGCGUAAUGCUGCCAUCAAAGGCUUUGAAUCUUUUGUGGAGGAGCAGAGCCUGCAAGGCAGGGUGACGGCGGCGUUUGUUAAAAAAAAAGGGAAAACCUGAAACAAAAAUACAAAGAUCUGAAAUGUCCGCAGACGGGGGUGAGCACUGAGGAUGGAGAGCCCACAGCAGCAUCCUGGAAGUGGUACACUGCCAUGGAUGAGGCAAUUGGGGGCAGACCCUCCAUCUCUCCUCCUGCCCUCGUUGCCUCAUGUGGGCCGGAUGCUGCUGUGGUCUCUUCAUCCUUAGUGAGGCCAGAGCCAGCAAGAGCCAGGAAAAGGGCUAUAGAUGUGGAGGAGCUGAUCCGGGACACGGAGGAGCGAGAAGAGGAGAGAGAGCGGAAGGCAGCUGAGAGGGAGGA